This is a long non-coding RNA of Cephus cinctus (wheat stem sawfly), 1131 nucleotides long. RefSeq lists it as uncharacterized. The transcript is spliced from 5 exons. Lineage: Eukaryota; Metazoa; Arthropoda; Insecta; Hymenoptera; Cephidae. The record is from RefSeq and is a predicted model, not a curated record.
UCACUUCAUUCGUUCUUUCGUGAAACGCUGCCAACUCCUUAACGGGAAAUAGUUUCGUGAUCUGCGGCUUACAUUGCACUUUCGCCAGGAAAAUCUAAUAAGAUUCGAAACAAAAUAACGAAAAAAAAAACCCAGAGUACCUUAGUCAUUCACAAAGGGUGCCGCCUGGACAAUGAUCAUUCGCUAUACGCUAUACAAAGGUAAAAAAGUUAAGCCUGCAAUUCGAGGAAUAUUUUUUAAGUACGCAGAACGAUGUUGCUUCGUCUUUGACAAUAUAAUCGGCAGUUGCAGUAAUCAGGACAAUUAUUAUUCUACUGGUGUGUCAGUCGCAUGUGAUCAAAUGGCGGAUCGCAUCAAAUCGCGUGCUACGUUCAGGUUUAAUUAACUGACGUGCACGGGCUGUUAGCCAGUUUAAAUACAAUGAAUUGUUAUGUUCAUCCAUACAUGUUAUAAUAUGAAAGCAGUCUUAAAAUUUUUGGAGUAUAGUGUCCGAGUCGCAUUUUUUCUCAAGGAAUAAAACGUAGCGGUACAAGACGUCUCAGGUCCGUGGAAAGGACACUACCAGAAUCUUCCAACUCCUUAAGUACAAGCAAAGUUUUUAACUGAGGACCGACCCCACCACCUGCAGAAGAUACCAGAGUCUCAAGAACGUCGUUUGAGUAUCCUGAAAAUUUAGCAAAACCCUGCUUUCUGGCGUCUUUACUCAACGCGUCGUACAGCGUCGCCAGUUGCUGAAGUGACGCCCUGGGUGGAAUUUUGGCCCGUCUCAAGUAACCAGCUAAGCUGGGUCUUGGUACUUGCACGACUUUUUCACCCAGCAAGAGAUCAGAGAAGCAGAGGGAUUUACUAUACCGUAGAUCUCUUCCACGACGCUUUGGAUACUGGGUUUCUUCUUCUUGUCAUUCUCCACUGUGGUGGCGCUACUUUCGUUUCCGGUCUGCCGAUCAACCUCCGGCUGUUCAUAAUUUGACUCAGUGGUUCCAUGAGGGACUUCAGCCACUUCUUGGUUCACUUCAGGAGUAGCGUAAUUCAUUUCGACAUUCUCUUCAUUUACUUCCGGUAUCUCCACGUGACUGAUACUCGUCUCAACCAUUGAAGACAAAGGCAUUGAAUUCGUUGUCAUAGUCAUCG